This 165-nucleotide ribosomal RNA is filed under the name uncultured bacterium. Its description in RNAcentral is "partial 16S rRNA". It matches the Rfam family "Bacterial small subunit ribosomal RNA", at positions 355 to 511 of the family's 1533-position model. The record is from RNAcentral.
UAGGGAAUCUUCGGCAAUGGGGGCAACCCUGACCGAGCAACGCCGCGUGAGUGAAGAAGGUUUUCGGAUCGUAAAGCUCUGUUGUAAGAGAAGAACGUGUGUGAGAGUGGAAAGUUCACACAGUGACGGUAACUUACCAGAAAGGGACGGCUAACUACGAGCCAG